Molecule: ribosomal RNA, 451 nt
Filed under: uncultured organism
Description: partial 16S ribosomal RNA
Rfam family: Bacterial small subunit ribosomal RNA
Source: RNAcentral
GUACACUCCUGCGGGAGGCAGCAGUGGGGAAUAUUGGACAAUGGGCGCAAGCCUGAUCCAGCCAUGCCGCGUGAGUGAUGAAGGCCCUAGGGUUGUAAAGCUCUUUCACCGGUGAAGAUAAUGACGGUAACCGGAGAAGAAGCCCCGGCUAACUUCGUGCCAGCAGCCGCGGUAAUACGAAGGGGGCUAGCGUUGUUCGGAUUUACUGGGCGUAAAGCGCACGUAGGCGGACUAUUAAGUCAGGGGUGAAAUCCCGGGGCUCAACCCCGGAACUGCCUUUGAUACUGGUAGUCUUGAGUUCGAGAGAGGUGAGUGGAAUUCCGAGUGUAGAGGUGAAAUUCGUAGAUAUUCGGAGGAACACCAGUGGCGAAGGCGGCUCACUGGCUCGAUACUGACGCUGAGGUGCGAAAGCGUGGGGAGCAAACAGGAUUAGAUACCCUUGUAGUCCCAU